GAUGAAGAACGCAGCGAAAUGCGAUAAGUAAUGUGAAUUGCAGAAUUCAGUGAAUCAUCGAAUCUUUGAACGCACAUUGCGCCCGCCAGUAUUCUGGCGGGCAUGCCUGUUCGAGCGUCAUUACAACCCUCAGGCCCCCGGGCCUGGCGUUGGGGAUCGGCGGAGCCCCCCGUGGGCACACGCCGUCCCCCAAAUACAGUGGCGGGCCCGCCGCAGCUUCCAUCGCGUAGUAGCUAACACCUCGCGACUGGAGAGCGGCGCGGCCACGCCGUAAAACACCCAACUCUUCUGAAGUUGACCUCGAAUCAGGUAGGAAUACCCGCUGAACUUAAGCAUAUCAAUAAGCGGAGGA
RNAcentral lists this unclassified non-coding RNA (352 nucleotides) under soil metagenome. RNAcentral's name for it is "partial contains 5.8S ribosomal RNA, internal transcribed spacer 2, and large subunit ribosomal RNA". The stretch from base 1 to 120 matches the Rfam family "5.8S ribosomal RNA", at positions 35 to 154 of the family's 154-position model. The record is from RNAcentral.